AUGGGCUCUCACCUACGAGUGGACAUGAUCACAAAGAAGGGCAAGAACAUGAAGAUCAUCAGCCAAAUCGAGAACGAUGAAGGUGUCCGCAGGUUUGAUGAGAUCUUGGAAGCCAGUGAUGGGAUCAUGGUGGCUCGUGGUGACCUGGGCAUUGAGAUUCCUGCAGAGAAGGUCUUCCUGGCUCAGAAGAUGAUGAUUGGACGGUGCAACCGAGCUGGGAAGCCUGACAUCUGUGCCACACAGAUGCUGGAGAGCAUGAUCAAGAAGCCACGCCCCACCCGUGCUGAAGGCAGUGAUGUGGCCAAUGCAGUCCUGGAUGGAGCAGACUGCAUCAUGCUGUCUGGAGAAACAGCCAAGGAGGACUACCCUCUGGAGGCUGUUCGCAUGCAGCACCUGAUUGCCCGAGAGGCAGAGGCUGCCAUCUACCACUUGCAGCUAUUCGAGGAAUUCCGCCACCUGGCGCCCAUUACCAGCGACCCCACAGAAGCUACCGCCGUGGGUGCCGUGGAGGCCUCCUUCAAGUGCUGCAGUGGGGCCAUUAUCUUGCUCACCAAGUCUGGCAGGAGUGCUCACCAAGUGGCCAGGUACUGCCCUCGGGCUCCUAUCAUUGCUGUGACUCGCAAUCCCCAGACUGCUCGCCAGGCCCAUCUGUACCGCGGCAUCUUCCCUGUGCUGUGUAAGGAUGCUGUACUGAAUGCCUGGGCUGAAGAUGUUGACCUUCGUGUAAACUUGGCCAUGGAUGUUGGCAAGGUCCGAGGCUUCUUCAAGAAGGGAGAUGUGGUCAUUGUGCUGACCGGGUGGCGCCCUGGCUCUGGCUUAACCAACACCAUGCAUGUAGUGCCUGUGCCUUGAUGGCCCUCUGGAGCCCCUCUUCUAGCCCCUGUCCCUUCCCCUCCCCUAUCCUAUCCAUUAGGCCAGCAACGCUUGUAGUGCUUACUCCGGGCCAUAGUGUGAGGCUGGUGGGCUGGGACACCAGGGAAAAUUAAUGCCUCUGAAACAUGCAAUAGAGCCCAGCUAUUUUUCAUGGCCCUACUUGAGCCAGGGGUGAAGGAAGAAUGCAGGAUUGGAAACCCUCUGACUUUAUCACAGAAGGGCAGCAUCAUCUCUGUGUACUUUGCUCCUGUAGAAAGUUGUCCAGAGAAUUCCCAGCCCUAGCCUGGAGUCCAAAGACUGGA
Molecule: RNA transcript, 1175 nt
Organism: Mastomys coucha (southern multimammate mouse)
Lineage: Eukaryota; Metazoa; Chordata; Mammalia; Rodentia; Muridae
Gene name: pyruvate kinase PKM pseudogene
Exons: 2
Source: RefSeq, a predicted model, not a curated record